Molecule: ribosomal RNA, 599 nt
Filed under: Maricaulis parjimensis
Lineage: Bacteria; Pseudomonadati; Pseudomonadota; Alphaproteobacteria; Maricaulales; Maricaulaceae
Description: bacterial SSU rRNA
Rfam family: Bacterial small subunit ribosomal RNA
Source: RNAcentral
AGACGGGUGAGUAACGCGUGGGAACAUACCUUUCGGUUCGGAAUAGCCCCGGGAAACUGGGUGUAAUACCGGAUACGUCCUUAGGGAGAAAGAUUUAUCGCCGAAAGAUUGGCCCGCGUUAGAUUAGGUAGUUGGUGGGGUAAAAGCCUACCAAGCCUACGAUCUAUAGCUGGUCUGAGAGGAUGAUCAGCCACACUGGGACUGAGACACGGCCCAGACUCCUACGGGAGGCAGCAGUGAGGAAUCUUGGACAAUGGGCGCAAGCCUGAUCCAGCCAUGCCGCGUGAAUGAUGAAGGCCUUAGGGUUGUAAAAUUCUUUCAGCAGGGAAGAUAAUGACGGUACCUGCAGAAGAAGCCCCGGCUAACUCCGUGCCAGCAGCCGCGGUAAUACGGAGGGGGCUAGCGUUGUUCGGAAUUACUGGGCGUAAAGCGCUCGUAGGCGGAUUGGUCAGUCAGGGGUGAAAGCCCGGAGCUCAACUCCGGAACUGCCUUUGAUACUGCCAGUCUUGAGUUCGGGAGAGGUGAGCGGAAUACCGAGUGUAGAGGUGAAAUUCGUAGAUAUUCGGUGGAACACCAGAGGCGAAGGCGGCUCACUGGAC